GUCGGACAAAAAGACAGGAACCGUUAAAUGGUGUGAUAUUGUACAACACAAGCGAUGGUAGUUCACAGCUGCCAUAUUGGGAGAAAGAUGUCUUGGGGGAGUUCACCGUCUUGACUGGGGAUGUUGUUGGUUUUAAAAUUGCUACAGCCACUCAGUCAAGCGAUACAUUUCUCUUCUUUUCGUGCAUAUCGGCGUGAUUCUUUAAGAAGAGCAACGGAAAUUAAUCUCAUCAAGGAAGUGGUAAGCAGCAAUGGAUGCAAUGUCAGAGAAAGAGGUUUGUUUCGUCUUUGAAAGACAGCUAUGGCCUCAUUCAGUGUUGUGAUAGGGAUACAAGAUUAUUCUUUCAUUUCA
Xenia sp. Carnegie-2017 is the source of this 351-nucleotide long non-coding RNA. RefSeq lists it as uncharacterized. NCBI's taxonomy places the organism in Eukaryota, Metazoa, Cnidaria, Anthozoa, Malacalcyonacea, Xeniidae. The record is from RefSeq and is a predicted model, not a curated record. The transcript is spliced from 3 exons.